UGCCAGCUCUUGGUGUAUCCUGGGGCUUUCAAUUUGACCACAGGCCCUGCCCACUGGGAGCUGCUGCAGAGAGGACGAGCUGUUGAUAACCAGGUCUAUGUGGCUGCUGUAUCUCCUGCUAGGGAUGAGAAGGCGUCUUAUGUAGCCUGGGGACAUAGCACUGUAGUAAAUCCAUGGGGGGAAGUCAUAGCCAAAGCGGGCACUGAGGAAACGGUUAUUUAUGCAGAU
Molecule: long non-coding RNA, 228 nt
Organism: Gekko japonicus
Lineage: Eukaryota; Metazoa; Chordata; Lepidosauria; Squamata; Gekkonidae
Exons: 3
Source: RefSeq, a predicted model, not a curated record